CUGCUGGGAAUGUCUGGCUGAGCCCUCCGUCAGGGAGGUCUUUAACUCCCACAUCCGGGCAAGGAUGGGAGGUUGGUGACAUUGAGUCAGAGUGGACCAUGUUCUCCACCUCUAUUGUCUCUGCUGCUUUCCAGAGCUUUAGUCGCAGGGUCUGUGGUGCCUGGCAGCAACCCCUGAGCCCGGUGGUGGAUACCGGAAGUAAGGAAUGCCGUCAAGCUGAAGAAGGGUUCCUAUGAGGCCUGGUUGGCUUGUGGGACUUCAGAGGCAGUUGACGGGUCCUGGCAGUCUAAGCAAGCUGCAGCCCGGGCUGUUUUGGAGGCAAAAACUUGGUCCUGGGAGGAGUUUGGUGAGGCCAUGGGGAAGGACUAUCGGUUGGCCUCAAAGAGAUUCUGGCAAACCGUCCGGCGCCUCAGGAGGGGAAAACAGUUUUCUACGGUCACCGUUCUCAGUGCAGGUGGGGAUCUGCUGACCUCAACUGGGGACAUUGUCGGGCGGUGGAAGGAAUACUUUGAGGAUCUCCUCAACCCUGCUGACACGCCCUCCAUUGAGGAAGCAGAGGCUGAGGACACUGGGGUGGAACUGUCCAUCACCCAAGCUGAGGUCACUGAGGUAGUCAAAGAGCUCCUCGGUGGCAAGGCUCGGGGAGUGGAUGAGGUUCGUCCUGAGUACCUCAAGUCUCUGGAUGCUGUGGGAGUGUCUUGGCUGACACGUCUUUGCAACAUUGCAUGGCAGACAGGAACCGUACCACUGGACUGGCAGACUGGGGUGGUGGUUCCCCUUUUCAAGAAGGGGGACCGGAGGGUGUGUUCCAGUUACCGGGGAAUCACACUCCUCAGCCUUCCCGGGAAAGUCUAUGCCAGGGUCCUGGAGAUUAGAGUCUGUCCAAUAGUCGAACCUCAGAUUCAAGAACAACAGUGUGGUUUCUGUCUUGGUGGUGGAACAGUGGACCAGAUCUACAUCCUCUUCAGGUGCUGGAGGGUUCAUGGGAGUUCACUCAUCCAGUCCAUAUGUGUUUGGUGGAUUUGGAGAAGGCGUUCGACCGCGAUCCCCGUGGUGUCCUGUGG
This 1064-nucleotide long non-coding RNA is filed under the name Oryzias javanicus (javanese ricefish). RNAcentral's name for it is "lncRNA (ENSOJAG00000012602.1)". Lineage: Eukaryota; Metazoa; Chordata; Actinopteri; Beloniformes; Adrianichthyidae. The record is from RNAcentral.